Molecule: signal recognition particle RNA, 97 nt
Filed under: Porticoccaceae bacterium
Lineage: Bacteria; Pseudomonadati; Pseudomonadota; Gammaproteobacteria; Cellvibrionales; Porticoccaceae
Description: signal recognition particle sRNA small type
Rfam family: Bacterial small signal recognition particle RNA
About the family: The signal recognition particle (SRP) is a universally conserved ribonucleoprotein involved in the co-translational targeting of proteins to membranes. Archaeal SRP consists of a 7S RNA and homologues of the eukaryotic SRP19 and SRP54 proteins.
Source: RNAcentral
CUGUCGGUUUCCCGCAGUGAACAAUUGUGAACUCCGCCAGGCCUGGAAGGGAGCAACGGUAGCAAUGACUUCGCGUGCCGGGGUCUGCUGGCAGGGG